This is a long non-coding RNA of Papaver somniferum (opium poppy), 721 nucleotides long. RefSeq lists it as uncharacterized. NCBI's taxonomy places the organism in Eukaryota, Viridiplantae, Streptophyta, Magnoliopsida, Ranunculales, Papaveraceae. The transcript has 3 exons. The record is from RefSeq and is a predicted model, not a curated record.
AAGCAUUGAAUUGAUUUUGGGUUUACUUGAUGUUUUGAUUUCAUCUGUAAGGUUUGAUUAAGGGGUUUUUGUGAUUUUGAUUUGUAGUGUUACCAACAAUUUAUAUUCAAUAACAUAUAGAGAAUGAGAAAUCAUGUGUAUGGCACGCUACUGAUUACUCUGAUGGUGAAUUGAAAGAACAAUUGUUUUGUGUUCGAUUUGCAUCCACCGAGAUACCUGAAUACUACCUAAGGUUGCGCAUCAAAGUUUGGGGUACUGGUACAUUCUUUGGUGUCGGUGUAUCUUAUUUGCAAACAAAGCUAGAUGCAGGAGGACAUGAUCAUACCUCCACUAUCUCUUGUCUGCAGGAUACUGGGAUUACUCGACAUCUUCCUUACAUAUUGCUUUGUGAGGAACUGAAGGGAGUUGUUGCAAGUACUUUUGUUGCUUUUACCACGCCACCCAGCAAUGCCGAAUAUAACUGUGUCUUUAAUGAAAUAAUGGAUCCAAGUGGGAUGUCAUACGAUGUAUAUGGAGUACUUUGGAGAUGUUUCACUAGGUCGAUUAGAUGGCCAAAAACUUCUGUAAUCCUAUAUGAGAGACCUAACUAGAUUGAAUGCUUCAGUUCAAAUUUUUAAGUGUGAUUUUGAGUUGUAAAUGCAAAAUGAAUUUAUCCUUUUUUUGGUUGUAAUGUAACACUGGAUUAUCUUUUAAAUGCAAUGUAUAUCUGAUUUCAGAUUCA